GAUGAACGCUAGCGGCAGGCCUAAUACAUGCAAGACGAACGGUGAGUUGAGUAGCAAUACUUAGCCAAGAGUGUCGUACGGGUGCGUAACACGUAUGCAACCUACCCUAUACAGGAGGAUAGCCUAGGGAAACCUGGAUUAACCCUUCAUAGUAUUAUUGGAUGGCAUCAUUUGAUAAUUAAAACUAGAGGUGGUAUAGGAUGGGCGAUGCGUCUGAUUAGUUAGUUGGCGGGGUAAGUGGCCCACCAAGACGAUGAUCAGUAGGGGGUUCGUGAGAGGAAGAUCCCCACCACUGGCACUGAGAUACGGGCCAGACUCCUACGGGAGGGCAGCAGUAGGGAAGU
This 344-nucleotide ribosomal RNA is filed under the name uncultured bacterium. Its description in RNAcentral is "bacterial SSU rRNA". It matches the Rfam family "Bacterial small subunit ribosomal RNA", at positions 28 to 363 of the family's 1533-position model. The record is from RNAcentral.